RNAcentral lists this ribosomal RNA (1203 nucleotides) under Triticum aestivum (bread wheat). RNAcentral describes it as "partial small subunit ribosomal RNA". Lineage: Eukaryota; Viridiplantae; Streptophyta; Magnoliopsida; Poales; Poaceae. The record is from RNAcentral.
CGACAAAAACCCAAAUUCAGACGGCAAAGAUUUUGCCGUCAGGAAGCAGACGACAAACUCAGACGGCAAAUAUAAGUCGGCAAAGAGUACUUUGCCGUCAGCCUUUUGUCAAGAUGACGGCAAAGAUUUUGCCGUCAAUCAUUACAAUUUUGCUGUCUGGCGCAAAAAUAACAGACGGUAAAAAACCCAUGCUUUGCCGUCAGUCAAAACCUGUGCUUUGCCGUCAUCCAGAAUAAAGUACAGACGGCAAAGAUUGUUUUUCAUUUUUUUUAAAGUGACGUCUGAGCAGAGCAUCUCGCCAGACACACGAACAACAGACAAAACAGGUUCAGCUCGCGGAGAUUUUGGAUUCGACGCGGCGUGCUGUCUUGCAUUCAUCGUCGGUGGCGUUACAAAGAAGUUACAGAGCUGUCCAAAAAAUUUACACAAAGACCCUUAUAAACUAAAAAGGAAAAGCAAUCAAGUUCUCCAUCACAGCAACAGAUACUUCACCGCCAGCCGUCCUUCUUCUCGCCGGGGACAAUACCGCCUCGCCCUGCUCUCCGUGCCACCGGACCGCCAUGCUCGCCCGACCCUGGUACCCGCACCGCCGCCCGGCCGUGCUCGCUGGUUCCUGGAGAGAGAGAGAGAAGGGAGCACCGCCGCGCGCCAGUGCAGCGUCGGGUGGCCGACGCCGGAGGGAGGAGCUCCUCUGUGGUGGCCGUCACGUGCCAUGCUCGAGGGAAGAGGCCGCCGCGCGCCCGAGGGAAGAAGCCGCCGCGCCCCUGCGCUGAGCAGUCGACGGUGGAGUGAGCCGCCGCCGCGCGCCAUGCUCGUUGCCCGCGCGUCCAGCAAGCUCGUCGUCUGCGCGUCCGGCAAGCUCGCUGCCAGCGCGGCCGCCCUGCUCCACGCCUGUGGGGUCUCCCUGCUCACCGCCUGCGCAUCCGCCAAGAGCGGCCGCCCUGCUCCCCGCCCGUGGGGUCUCCCUGCUCACCGCCCGCGCAUCCGCCAAGCGCGGCCGCCCUGCUCCCCGCCCGUGGGGUCUCCCUGCUCACCGCCCGCGCAUCCGCCAAGCGCGGCCGCCCUGCUCCCCGCCCGCGCGGAUGGCCUGCUUGCCAGUGCCGGCCAUGGAUGUGCUGGUGGGUGGCUGUGUGGUGUGUGUUCCGUGGCCAUGGAUGUGUUGGUUUGGUGGGUGGUUGUGUGAUGUGCGUUCCGUGGCAUGAG